CUGUUGACAAAUUUGAGUUGAAGAACAUGUUACAACAGUUCUAAUAGCUGCAAACUGAUACUCAUCUGGAAGUUGCUAAGAUGUUUAAUGUGGUUAGCAACACAAUAAUUUCCUUACACAACGAUCUGAGCCAAAAGUUUGAUGUUUUUAACAACACGGCCAUGUAUUUGGAAGACAAGAUGACUUCUAUAUCUUCAGUUGAACUCCCCGG
Molecule: long non-coding RNA, 211 nt
Filed under: Capsella rubella
Lineage: Eukaryota; Viridiplantae; Streptophyta; Magnoliopsida; Brassicales; Brassicaceae
Description: long non-coding RNA (CRUB_LNC000881)
Source: RNAcentral